GAUGAACGCUGGCGGCGUGCCUAAUACAUGCAAGUCGAGCGAACAGACGAGGAGCUUGCGCCUCUGACGUUAGCGGCGGACGGGAGAGUAACACGUGGAUAACCUACCUAUAAGACUGGGAUAACUUCAGGAGAUCAUAGCUAAUACCGGAUAAUAUAUCGAACCGCAUGGUUCAAUAGUUAAAGACGGUUUUGCUGUCACUUAUAGAUGGCUCCGCGCCGCAUUAGCUAGUUGGCAAGGUAACGGCUUACCAACGCAACGAUGCGUAGCCGACCUGAGAGGGUGAUCGGCCACACUGGAACUGAGACACGGCCCAGACUCCUACGGGAGGCAGCAGUAGGGAAUCUUCCGCAAUGGGCGAAAGCGUGACAGAGCAACGCCGCGUGAGUGAUGAAGGUCUUCGGAUCGUAAAACUCUGUUGUUCGGGAAGAACAAAUGUGUAAGUAACUAGGCAGGUCAUGACGGUACCGAAUCAGAAAGCCACGGCUAACUACGUG
Molecule: ribosomal RNA, 497 nt
Filed under: uncultured bacterium
Lineage: Bacteria
Description: partial 16S ribosomal RNA
Rfam family: Bacterial small subunit ribosomal RNA
Source: RNAcentral